GGCUCAAUGGUCUAGUCGUAUGAUUCCUGCUUUGGGUGCAGGAGGCCCCGGGUUCAAAUCCCGGUUGAGCCC
Molecule: transfer RNA, 72 nt
Filed under: Cytospora mali
Lineage: Eukaryota; Fungi; Ascomycota; Sordariomycetes; Diaporthales; Cytosporaceae
Also listed under: 1 other name
Description: tRNA-Pro (TGG) (tRNA-Pro-TGG-2-1)
Rfam family: tRNA
About the family: Transfer RNA (tRNA) molecules are approximately 80 nucleotides in length. Their secondary structure includes four short double-helical elements and three loops (D, anti-codon, and T loops). Further hydrogen bonds mediate the characteristic L-shaped molecular structure. tRNAs have two regions of fundamental functional importance: the anti-codon, which is responsible for specific mRNA codon recognition, and the 3' end, to which the tRNAs corresponding amino acid is attached (by aminoacyl-tRNA synthetases). tRNAs cope with the degeneracy of the genetic code in two manners: having more than one tRNA (with a specific anti-codon) for a particular amino acid; and 'wobble' base-pairing, i.e. permitting non-standard base-pairing at the 3rd anti-codon position.
Source: RNAcentral